RNAcentral lists this ribosomal RNA (484 nucleotides) under uncultured bacterium. Its description in RNAcentral is "partial 16S ribosomal RNA". It matches the Rfam family "Bacterial small subunit ribosomal RNA", at positions 30 to 507 of the family's 1533-position model. The record is from RNAcentral.
AUUGAACGCUGGCGGCAGGCCUAACACAUGCAAGUCGAGCGGAUGAAGGGAGCUUGCUCCUGGAUUCAGCGGCGGACGGGUGAGUAAUGCCUAGGAAUCUGCCUGGUAGUGGGGGAUAACGUCCGGAAACGGGCGCUAAUACCGCAUACGUCCUGAGGGAGAAAGUGGGGGAUCUUCGGACCUCACGCUAUCAGAUGAGCCUAGGUCGGAUUAGCUAGUUGGUGGGGUAAAGGCCUACCAAGGCGACGAUCCGUAACUGGUCUGAGAGGAUGAUCAGUCACACUGGAACUGAGACACGGUCCAGACUCCUACGGGAGGCAGCAGUGGGGAAUAUUGGACAAUGGGCGAAAGCCUGAUCCAGCCAUGCCGCGUGUGUGAAGAAGGUCUUCGGAUUGUAAAGCACUUUAAGUUGGGAGGGAGGGCAGUAAGUUAAUACCUUGCUGUUUUGACGUUACCAACAGAACAAGCACCGGCUAACUUCGUG